GCUUUAUCUCGUUUAAUUGACAGAAUUCAGACCGCGGUAGCACGUAAAGCGAAGAGGGGUCUUUGAAUCAGCAAAGUGCUUGUAAUGUAAUAAGCACUCUCUUCUAAAUGGAGCCUUGACUCCAUUUAAAAGAGGGCAGAAAAUAUGUGUGCACUCUUGCUUAAGGCUUUCAUCUUGCAUAUAAAUCACUCCUGAAAGUGGGUGUUUGAGCGCCACAGAUUUCAGGUCUUGGGGCGCAUGCUGUAUUAUCGGCCAAGGCUGCAUUAAUGACAGAGCUGUGCCAUGGCACCAUGAAGUAAAUUAAGCCAAUUCCAAAUAUUCUAAGGAUUUUUUUCUAGCUGUUUUAAAAGCCUUACCCUUACGUGUGCUUCUUCUUUCCCUCUACUUUCUGUUUCUGUCUAGGUACCGCGGCAGCUGAGUGCUCUGACAUUGUACAGGUGUGAGCAGUCUGUUCUGGAUUACUGCCAUACCCACCUGUCACUGCACCUCAAUGUGGGCAUGGAGCCCUCCACUCAGGCGCAGGGAGGUCCAGGGCCAGCAUUGUACCAACCCAGCCUAAUGGCUGCCCUCCCCUCAAAGCCUGUGCUGCCUUGCCCCCAGACCCACUCCCACCACCACUGAGCUGUGCACACCACGAGGCUCUGUCUCCAAACUACUGUACGUCAGCUGCACAUAAUCACAGAACUGCUCAUACGAAAUGAAAGGCUGUGUGGGAGGAAGCUGGGACUGGUAAAGAAGCAAAGGAGACAAUUAAUUUACUGCAGAGCAUCCUGGAACCAGGGUAAUGAAAAUGAAAAUAUUUCUCAGUGGAAAUAAAGGGGAGCAGCAGUUUUGAUUAGUGAGCUUCUGACCUACCUGACCCUCAAUGUCCUCAAUUAGCAAAGGAGGCUGAACUUCAGCAUGACUUUCUGCAUUCUGCUUUGCCUCUUGGGGAGUAUUAAAGAUAAUAAUUUCAUGAUUUGUUAAUCUUAUUAAACAUAUUUCCUUGACUUCUCAUAACGUGGACACCCCUCUGCUGUGCAGGUAAAGUAAUCAAAAUGCAAAACGUUGUAAACAGAGCAGGGGGAAACAGCAUGAUAAGCAACUGAGUAGCUGAACAAACGAAAGCUCGACCAAGCUGAAAGGGUUUCUACUGUUUUGUUUUGUUUUUUUCUUUUUUCUGAUCAUGCUGUCAGCCAGAGGUCUCUCUCAAACUCAAGUCCCUGUAGCUUUUUUCAUUUCGAGAAAUGAGCCUCUCCAAUGAAAUUACCCAAGACAAGAGAAACAAGUCCGAAAAUAGCGGACAGUAAUUGUUUUAUAAAAUGUACAGCCCACACAUCUUGCUGGCAGUCAGUAUAGUUUACAUGGUGACUUUUGAAUUGCUUAAUGAUUUGUGAUGUUGAUCACGUUCUUAUUCAUUUGAGAAAUAAACAGAGGAAAAAUAAACACCAAGUACAGAGCUUGGUGCACUGGGACGUUCAGAUGUUUACUUUUCAUCCUUCAUUUAAAUCACUUAUGUGGCUAAUGGUUUUUGGUUUUUAUAAUGUGUUAUUCAGCCAAUUAUCUGAUUGUACACUUGCAUAUCUACACGUGUGCUUUUUACAAAAUGCUACAAUAUAAUAUAUGGCAAAUAAACUGUGCUAAAUGACCGGAAACAGUGUCAUUCAUCAAGUUCAGCGGUAUCAACCCAAACAACUGUCUACUGUACUUUGCCAGCUGUGUAGGUGGUUUAAACUGCAGAGCACAGUGCACAGCACAGGCAGGACUGUCUGAUAAUGAUGUGUGUUUGGUUUUUGCCUUAUUGAUCAAGACCCUGAUGGUAACUUCUCUUGCUUUUCUUCUUCUGUGACUGUGUGGUAUCUGAUGUGAUACAGUAAGCUCGACUCGCUGAACUCAUACACUUCUAGGCUAUUUUACUUUCAGGGAAGGAAAACGUGUACAGAUCACCCAAUUAAUAUCCUGAAUAUUGUUCAACGCAGCAGUUCUAUGUUCUUAACAUAGACACAGUUUACGAUGAAAUUGGUAAAAGGUUAUUGUGAUAUAAAAGUAUACAUUUGUUUUUCUGCUGGGAAUUGACCGUUAGCUAAACCUGUCCAGUAAACAACAAUUGUCAAAUAAUAGUUUAUCUACAAUAACUAUGUGCAGCAGACCUUCUGAGCUUUGGUUUUCUGCACAUUUUGAACUGCUAACCAGCGAAAUCAACACUCACCAUUUAAGGAGAUUAUUAAGUAUAUGAUGUGAAUGAUAGCAUGCCCAGCUUACGGCAAUAAGCAGUUAUGAUACAGUUGUAAUAGUAACACAGUUUUACCUUUGAGGCCAAUGAAAAUUAGUUAACUAAACUGUUUGGGGUUUAGCGUCCCACAACUAGGCAAGCUCACUACACAAGUCCCCAGAAGUUGGUCCUGAAUACUGAUUCAGCAUAUUGUAGAGUAAUAUUAGGAGCUCAGUCCUGCUACACGUCUGAUUGAUUUAAUUAAAUCUACGUAAAUAGCUAGCUAUACCAACAGGCAAAAGAAGUAAGACUAAAGAGUUAAAUAAACACAGGAGGGGGCGCUUAAUAUAAUAUUAUAACAGUAUAUGGACAAAGGUUUUGGGGAGACAUGCUUCAAUUUAUUAAUUCGGGUGUUUCCAGAAUUUUAUACAGGUGUAUAAAAUCAAGCGCCUAGCUAUGCAAAUCAUAGCUAGGUGCAAAUCAUUUGUGAAACAAUAGAUUUUUUUUUAAAAUCCUCACUGAUCUCAAGCAUGGAGCUGUAAUUGGAUGCUGCCAUUGCAAAAAGUCAGUGUCCAAAUAUUUCUGGCACAACUUCACCUGCUUCCAAGGUGCAUUGAGAAGGACAAAGAUCUGGUGGCGUGAAGACUCCAGCGACACUUGAAGCACUAUGGAACAACUUUAUUAGCUGACCAACGCGUUUCGGCUUGUGGCCUUCAUCAGGGUCAUUACAAAAUACUAAACAGUUUGUGUUUAAAUAAAGAAAGAAAUCCAAGUGAACCAACCACACAGAAACAAGCUGACCAAUCAGCAUUUAAGAGGGUGGUACUAGCCAAGGCAUUCUUAUUACCGACACAUAACAUACUGACGAUUUGUCACGUCCCUAUGAUACGCGGCGGAUUGCGGAUGAAAUCCCAUAGAAUGAAGCUUCCAGCCGUGUAUUCCAGCCCUAAACCUAACCUUAAUCCUAACCAUAACAAUAAUUGUGUUAAAUGGUAAAUAUGGUAAAUGACCUGUAUUUGUAUAGCGCUUUUAUUAGUCCCGCCUAGAGACCCCAAAGCGCUUUACACAUCCACCCAUUCACACACACUGGAGACAAGCUGGUGGAGGCAAGCUACAGUAGCCACAGCUUCCCUGGGGCAGACUGACAGAAGCAGUCAGUCUUCUGCCAUCGGCCCUUCUGGCUAAUGGCGCGAUAUGUGUCUUGCCCAAGGACACAACGACCGAGACUGUCCGAGCCGGGGCCGAAUACAAGGCGAACUCAGAACUCAUGAGCCACGAUCGCCCCGUGUUAGAUAGAGUUUUCCAACGCGAUUCAUGAUGAGAAAGUAAAAUAAAUGUACAUGUGUAGAUUGAGUCCAAACGAUUCUCAUGUUUCCUCCUGUUUCCUAACGCAUAACAUAGGAAUAUGUUGGGUGACCAAACGGGUAACAUACCGAUGAUUUGUCACAUAGCGUAAUAUGUUACACUUUGGGAACAAGAACGUGUUGUACUGGCUGACUGGUUGGCUCUGGUUCAACUUUCAAAAAAUGAUUUAAAAAAAAUUAUUAACUCCAUAAUAAAAAAUUUGAACUAGUUAACAGCAAUUAUCAUUACAAUAAAAGGUUUUUGGUUUCUUGGUUUUUCAGUGGGGAUAGGUUAAUUGAAAAAUCUAAAUUGCCCAUAGGUGUAAAUGCUGGAGUGAAUGUGAGUGCGAAUGGUUGUCUGUCCUUGUGUGUUAGCCUUGUGUGGUACACCCUGGCGACCUGUCCAGGGUGUACCACCGCCUCAUGACAGCUGGGAUAGGGUCCAGCCCCCCCCCCCCCCCCCCCCCCCCGCGACCCUGGAAAGGAUAAGCGGAAGCGAAUGGAUGGAUGGAUGGAUGUUUUUUUUUAAAAGUCUUUGAAAAUCUAAUUAAGAACAUAAAGCAAAAUAGUGUAACUCGCAGAAACUCAUUAAUAGACCUGCAUUCAUACCUGUAGGAAAUAAAUAUAGGAAAUAAACUCUUUAAACAAAAUAUCCAGAAUGCUUCAUGGUGAGCUUUAUUUUUUAUUGGCAUUGACGCCAUGAAGCCCAGUCAAAGAGGUGAUAAAAUUAACUUCAUCAGGAAAAAGAGAGAUCUAGUUAGGACCUUUGAGAAUGAACUACUUUUGGAUAUGUGGGGUGAUUUUCAGUCCAGAGUCAGCCAGUACCACCCCCUUAAAUGCUGGUUGGUCAGCUUGUUUAUUUGUUCCAUAGUGCUUCAAGUUUCGCUGGAGCCACCAAAAAGUCACUUGUAUGAAAUUCUUUCCCUCCUACAGAUUUCACAAGUGGUAUUAUUGCAGAGUUACAAAGUGGGGUUGCCAAGUGCUGAGCUGCAUACUGUGUAAAGGUCUCCAACACUAUGCUUACUCCAGAGUUACAACCCUCCUCUGACAUUAACAUCAGCAUAAAAGUUGUGUACCAGGAGCUUCGUGAUAUGGCUGUUCAUGUUUAUGUGUACAAGGUAGCUCUGUGCAUUUGUCCACAUAGUGUAUAUGUAUAUUUUGGUUUCCUUUAUUUGAGUUAAAGAAAAAUUCUUAAGUUUAAAGUAUAGUGUUGACUAUGUUUGAACUGCAUCUAAAUUAUCUUUUAAGAAACUCAUCAAAAUAAUAUAUAGCUAUUAAAUUUUUACUAAAGUAGUUAGCUAGCAGCAGCUAUGAAGAUCUGUUUAUUUUAGCUGGCCAAGCCAUUGCUUGCAGGGGCAUCUUGUGUGCAUUCAUGUGAAAUUAAGAACCCAGUGAUUGAAAAAUAACAGCGAUGAUUUAACAGUAGAUUAGCCCCUAAACUCUAAUGCAACAGUAAUGGAUGGGGAUAGGGCUUAGCAAACGGUCAAUUGUUGAGAGGCUUUUUGCAAUAUUGAUUUUUUUUUAAAAACUGUUUUUGAACAUGUGACAUCACAGAUUAAAUUGUACUGAGAAAAUUUAUAUUUAUUAUACAUUUUGUUUUCGAUGUGUUUGAAUAGAAAUGUCCAGGGAUGUACAAUAUUCUGUCAUUAUCAAUACUGUAUCCAUCUCCAGUCAUGCAUUAGCUGUACUCUGAAUAUUUUAACGCUGAUUGUAUAAAACAAGUCAUCUGGCAUCAUGAAGAACAAAUGAAUGACGCAUUGAUUGUGUACAGCGGCACAUGUGUAUGUCCGAUUUUCAACAGUUCCUCAAUAACAGACAUUUUGAUCAUGCUCUGCCUGGUGUUCCUCUGUUUAAAGAAAGAAAGAAAGAAAGAAAGAAAGAAAGAAAGAAAGAAAGAAAGAAAGAAAGAAAGAAAGAAAGAAAGAAAGAAAGAAAAAUAAAGCAGGCAGUGCAGAAGAUAUAUCUGCUUAUGACAACAGGCUCUGACACACGACAGAUUCAUGCUGCUUGAGGAUUUAUUGCUCUGUAGCCGUGCACACGGAACAGUUUAAUGACGCUGAUAGACUGCAUAUACUGCACUCGCUUCAAGUGUUCAGAAAAGCGUUGAGAGAAUCAGGACAUUGAGGAGCAGUAGAUGCAACACAAUAGCAUCAAACCUAAGCGUUUGCAUGGAUUUACACUAACAGGCUGAUGACUCAUCAUACUUCAACCACCACUGACAAACACCUCUGGAGCAGCUCUGUCUCUACGACUUUACCCGCAAACUAGGAAGAUAAUUAUCACACACAUCACAUCUUAAAUCAACUGUGUGACUCACAGAAAGGGAAAAGAGCAAUACACAAUAUUUUAAAGUUUGGAGUGUUUAGAACUAGGAGGGUUGAUAGAUGAUUUUUACAGGUCACAAGAAGAUUAAGGCAUGUGGAAAAAGAACCAAAACAAAAAUCUUUUUCUAAUAUAGAAAUGUUGUCAUCUGAAACCUUGAAAUGAUUAAACUUUUAAUAAAGUAUUGACUGAAAUAGGCUGAAAACAGAAACACUCAACUGUUCCCAAUUUUGUGCAUGCACACCGAAGCCAGAAGGCCACUAGACAAAAUCAUUCUUUUUUAAAAGGACAAUGCCGAUGCUUUCACUGUACAGGAACAACAACCACGCGCUCCUUGCAGAUGCUGACUGGCUUAAUUUCUCGGAAAUGAAAAGUGCCAAGGCGAUCAUAACAUUUUUGUUUUUGUUACUUACUUUUAUCGGAUUGGACAACACGUGCGUCCUUCUGACAAU
Long non-coding RNA from Astatotilapia calliptera (eastern happy), 6308 nucleotides. The record is from Ensembl. NCBI's taxonomy places the organism in Eukaryota, Metazoa, Chordata, Actinopteri, Cichliformes, Cichlidae.